AUUGAACGCUGGCGGCAUGCUUUACACAUGCAAGUCGGACGGCAGCGGGGGUGCUUGCACCUGCCGGCGAGUGGCGAACGGGUGAGUAACAUAUUGGAAUGUACCGAGUAGUGGGGGAUAACCAAUCGAAAGAUUGGCUAAUACCGCAUACGUCCUGAGGGGGAAAGCAGGGGAUCUUCGGACCUUGCGCUAUUUGAGCAGCCAAUAUCUGAUUAGCUAGUUGGUGGGGUAAAGGCCCACCAAGGCGACGAUCAGUAGCGGGUCUGAGAGGAUGAUCCGCCACACUGGGACUGAGACACGGCCCAGACUCCUACGGGAGGCAGCAGUGGGGAAUUUUGGACAAUGGGGGCAACCCUGAUCCAGCCAUGCCGCGUGUCUGAAGAAGGCCUUCGGGUUGUAAAGGACUUUUGUUAGGGAAGAAAAGGGAAGUGCUAAUACCACUUUUUGCUGACGGUACCUAAAGAAUAAGCACCGGCUAACUACGUGCCAGCAGCCGCGGUAAUACGUAGGGUGCGAGCGUUAAUCGGAAUAACUGGGCGUAAAGGGCACGCAGGCGGUGACUUAAGUGAGGUGUGAAAGCCCCGGGCUUAACCUGGGAAUUGCAUUUCAUACUGGGUCGCUAGAGUACUUUAGGGAGGGGUAGAAUUCCACGUGUAGCGGUGAAAUGCGUAGAGAUGUGGAGGAAUACCGAAGGCGAAGGCAGCCCCUUGGGAAUGUACUGACGCUCAUGUGCGAAAGCGUGGGGAGCAAACAGG
This 755-nucleotide ribosomal RNA is filed under the name uncultured Kingella sp. Its description in RNAcentral is "bacterial SSU rRNA". It matches the Rfam family "Bacterial small subunit ribosomal RNA", at positions 28 to 776 of the family's 1533-position model. The record is from RNAcentral. Lineage: Bacteria; Pseudomonadati; Pseudomonadota; Betaproteobacteria; Neisseriales; Neisseriaceae.